GGCUUGGUUGCACGCGGCCCUGUGCAUCUGCGUGCCGUUUUUUCUUCCACAACAACCAGUACAGCAGACGUCGCUCGUUCGACUCGGGCCCAAGCCA
Mycena polygramma is the source of this 97-nucleotide non-coding RNA. Lineage: Eukaryota; Fungi; Basidiomycota; Agaricomycetes; Agaricales; Mycenaceae. The record is from the annotation of a GenBank genome assembly.